CGCGCUCGUGCUGAGUCUUAACGACUCUCGGCAACGGAUAUCUCGGCUCUCGCAUCGAUGAAGAACGUAGCGAAAUGCGAUACUUGGUGUGAAUUGCAGAAUCCCGUGAACCAUCGAGUCUUUGAACGCAAGUUGCGCCCGAAGCCGUUAGGUUGA
This 156-nucleotide ribosomal RNA is filed under the name Soleirolia soleirolii. Its description in RNAcentral is "5.8S ribosomal RNA". The stretch from base 23 to 156 matches the Rfam family "5.8S ribosomal RNA", at positions 1 to 132 of the family's 154-position model. Rfam says of the family: 5.8S ribosomal RNA (5.8S rRNA) is a component of the large subunit of the eukaryotic ribosome. It is transcribed by RNA polymerase I as part of the 45S precursor that also contains 18S and 28S rRNA. The record is from RNAcentral. Lineage: Eukaryota; Viridiplantae; Streptophyta; Magnoliopsida; Rosales; Urticaceae.